Molecule: ribosomal RNA, 1535 nt
Filed under: uncultured Enterobacteriaceae bacterium
Lineage: Bacteria; Pseudomonadati; Pseudomonadota; Gammaproteobacteria; Enterobacterales; Enterobacteriaceae
Description: 16S ribosomal RNA
Rfam family: Bacterial small subunit ribosomal RNA
Source: RNAcentral
AGAGUUUGAUCAUGGCUCAGAUUGAACGCUGGCGGCAGGCCUAACACAUGCAAGUCGAACGGUAACAGGAAGCAGCUUGCUGCUUCGCUGACGAGUGGCGGACGGGUGAGUAAUGUCUGGGAAGCUGCCUGAUGGAGGGGGAUAACUACUGGAAACGGUAGCUAAUACCGCAUAAUGUCGCAAGACCAAAGAGGGGGACCUUCGGGCCUCUUGCCAUCGGAUGUGCCCAGAUGGGAUUAGCUUGUUGGUGGGGUAACGGCUCACCAAGGCGACGAUCCCUAGCUGGUCUGAGAGGAUGACCAGCCACACUGGAACUGAGACACGGUCCAGACUCCUACGGGAGGCAGCAGUGGGGAAUAUUGCACAAUGGGCGCAAGCCUGAUGCAGCCAUGCCGCGUGUAUGAAGAAGGCCUUCGGGUUGUAAAGUACUUUCAGCGGGGAGGAAGGGAGUAAAGUUAAUACCUUUGCUCAUUGACGUUACCCGCAGAAGAAGCACCGGCUAACUCCGUGCCAGCAGCCGCGGUAAUACGGAGGGUGCAAGCGUUAAUCGGAAUUACUGGGCGUAAAGCGCACGCAGGCGGUUUGUUAAGUCAGAUGUGAAAUCCCCGGGCUCAACCUGGGAACUGCAUCUGAUACUGGCAAGCUUGAGUCUCGUAGAGGGGGGUAGAAUUCCAGGUGUAGCGGUGCAAUGCUCAGAGAUCUGGAGGAAUACCGGUGGCGAAGGCGGCCCCCUGGACGAAGACUGACGCUCAGGUGCGAAAGCGUGGGGAGCAAACAGGAUUAGAUACCCUGGUAGUCCACGCCGUAAACGAUGUCGACUUGGAGGUUGUGCCCUUGAGGCGUGGCUUCCGGAGCUAACGCGUUAAGUCGACCGCCUGGGGAGUACGGCCGCAAGGUUAAAACUCAAAUGAAUUGACGGGGGCCCGCACAAGCGGUGGAGCAUGUGGUUUAAUUCGAUGCAACGCGAAGAACCUUACCUGGUCUUGACAUCCACGGAAGUUUUCAGAGAUGAGAAUGUGCCUUCGGGAACCGUGAGACAGGUGCUGCAUGGCUGUCGUCAGCUCGUGUUGUGAAAUGUUGGGUUAAGUCCCGCAACGAGCGCAACCCUUAUCCUUUGUUGCCAGCGGUCCGGCCGGGAACUCAAAGGAGACUGCCAGUGAUAAACUGGAGGAAGGUGGGGAUGACGUCAAGUCAUCAUGGCCCUUACGACCAGGGCUACACACGUGCUACAAUGGCGCAUACAAAGAGAAGCGACCUCGCGAGAGCAAGCGGACCUCAUAAAGUGCGUCGUAGUCCGGAUUGGAGUCUGCAACUCGACUCCAUGAAGUCGGAAUCGCUAGUAAUCGUGGAUCAGAAUGCCACGGUGAAUACGUUCCCGGGCCUUGUACACACCGCCCGUCACACCAUGGGAGUGGGUUGCAAAAGAAGUAGGUAGCUUAACCUUCGGGAGGGCGCUUACCACUUUGUGAUUCAUGACUGGGGUGAAGUCGUAACAAGGUAACCGUAGGGGAACCUGCGGGUGGAUCACCUCCUUA